UACGGAGGGUGCAAGCGUUAUCCGGAUUCACUGGGUUUAAAGGGUGCGUAGGCGGGCAUUUAAGUCAGUGGUGAAAUACCUGAGCUUAACUUGGGAACUGCCAUUGAUACUAUUUGUCUUGAAUGUCGUGGAGGUUAGCGGAAUAUGUCAUGUAGCGGUGAAAUGCUUAGAUAUGACAUAGAACACCUAUUGCGAAGGUAGCUAACUACGCGAAUAUUGACACUGAUGCACGAAAGCGUGGGGAUCAAACAGG
This 253-nucleotide ribosomal RNA is filed under the name uncultured bacterium. RNAcentral's name for it is "partial 16S ribosomal RNA". It matches the Rfam family "Bacterial small subunit ribosomal RNA", at positions 524 to 776 of the family's 1533-position model. The record is from RNAcentral.